AGUGACUGUUAACUGUUUGUAACAGUGGAUGGAGAUAUGUUGUCAGAGUAACUAAAAUAUCGUCAAACUCAGAUAGAAUUUCUGGUUGCAGCAGCAGCGCGAGCGGGAGCUCGGAGCAGGGGCCUGUCGGGAAGCCGAGCUGUUUGGAUAAGGGAUCUCACAUAAACUUUACAUUUGAUGGCAUCGGUACCAAACCGGACUGGGAAGUAAGAACAGAAAAUCUACUGGAGGAAAUCAACAUAAGCAGCAUUGAAGCCCAGAACACAGAUGGCCACGGAGUGCCCCUGAUGACUUGUGACUGAAAUGGAAACGGAGACUGUGUGUCAUCUGCUGUCGCUACCUUUGGUGUGUUUCUCAAAUCCUCUCUUCAGUC
Molecule: long non-coding RNA, 373 nt
Organism: Stegostoma tigrinum
Lineage: Eukaryota; Metazoa; Chordata; Chondrichthyes; Orectolobiformes; Stegostomatidae
Exons: 3
Source: RefSeq, a predicted model, not a curated record